Molecule: long non-coding RNA, 358 nt
Filed under: Canis lupus familiaris (dog)
Lineage: Eukaryota; Metazoa; Chordata; Mammalia; Carnivora; Canidae
Description: lncRNA (ENSCAFG00000057722.1)
Source: RNAcentral
CCCUCCCCCGAUAAGAGUAGACACGGUGGCCUUCCCCGCUGGUCCCCAGGGGGUGGAGUACGUGGCCGUGGCAGAAGCCUUUUUGUGGAAGAGUAGAUGGAAGAAUCACAUGACAAGAAUUAUUUGCAACCCCCAACUGGAAUACAUUCUGAUACAACCAUGGUUUUGCUGCUCCCACUUUGCCUUCAUUCCCUGACAGAAAGUUUUUCAUUCUCAGGUAACCACCAAAUUUGCUUGGUAUGAACUUCCAUUCCUCCUGAAGAAGCAACAUGGCUUUCGCACUAAUAAAUAUAUCUUUUUCUUAUACUUCAAUAUUAUCAUUAUGAACAACAAAUACAGUGAAAUAUGUCAAAUGCCC